AGAGUUUGAUCCUGGCUCAGGAUGAACGCUGGCGGCGUGCCUAAUACAUGCAAGUCGAACGCAUAUCUUCGGAUAUGAGUGGCGAACGGGUGAGUAAUACAUAAGUAACCUGGCCUUAAGAGGGGGAUAACUAUUAGAAAUGAUAGCUAAGACCGCAUAGGUAUGAAGAUCGCAUGAUCGACAUAUUAAAUAUCCCACGGGAUAGCUGAAGGAUGGACUUAUGGCGCAUUAGCUAGUUGGUAGGGUAACGGCCUACCAAGGCGACGAUGCGUAGCCGACCUGAGAGGGUGGACGGCCACACUGGGACUGAGACACGGCCCAGACUCCUACGGGAGGCAGCAGUAGGGAAUUUUCGGCAAUGGGGGGAACCCUGACCGAGCAACGCCGCGUGAGGGAGGAAGUAUUUCGGUAUGUAAACCUCUGUUAUAAAGGAAGAACGGUGCAUGUAGGGAAUGACAUGCAAGUGACGGUACUUUAUGAGGAAGCCACGGCUAACUACGUGCCAGCAGCCGCGGUAAUACGUAGGUGGCGAGCGUUAUCCGGAAUUAUUGGGCGUAAAGAGGGAGCAGGCGGCAGCUAAGGUCUGCGGUGAAAGCCCGAAGCUAAACUUCGGUAAGCCGUGGAAACCGAGCAGCUAGAGUGCAGUAGAGGAUCGUGGAAUUCCAUGUGUAGCGGUGAAAUGCGUAGAUAUAUGGAGGAACAUCAGUGGCGAAGGCGACGAUCUGGGCUGCAACUGACGCUCAGUCCCGAAAGCGUGGGGAGCAAAUAGGAUUAGAUACCCUAGUAGUCCACGCCGUAAACGAUGAGUACUAAGUGUUGGGGGUCAAACCUCAGUGCUGCAGUUAACGCAAUAAGUACUCCGCCUGAGUAGUACGUUCGCAAGAAUGAAACUCAAAGGAAUUGACGGGGGCCCGCACAAGCGGUGGAGCAUGUGGUUUAAUUCGAAGCAACGCGAAGAACCUUACCAGGUCUUGACAUCGAUCUAAAGGAUCCAGAGAUGGAUAGAUAGUUAUAGAGAAGACAGGUGGUGCAUGGUUGUCGUCAGCUCGUGUCGUGAGAUGUUGGGUUAAGUCCCGCAACGAGCGCAACCCUUGUCGUUAGUUACCAGCAGUAAGAUGGGGACUCUAGCGAGACUGCCUCUGCAAGGAGGAGGAAGGCGGGGAUGACGUCAAAUCAUCAUGCCCCUUAUGACCUGGGCUACACACGUGCUACAAUGGACGGAUCAAAGGGAAGCGAAGCCGCGAGGUGAAGCGAAACUCAAAAACCCGUUCUCAGUUCGGACUGCAGUCUGCAACUCGACUGCACGAAGUUGGAAUCGCUAGUAAUCGCGAAUCAGAAUGUCGCGGUGAAUACGUUCUCGGGCCUUGUACACACCGCCCGUCACACCAUGAGAGUUGGUAACACCCGAAGCCGGUGGCCUAACCGCAAGGGAGGAGCUGUCUAAGGUGGGACUGAUGAUUGGGGUGAAGUCGUAACA
RNAcentral lists this ribosomal RNA (1477 nucleotides) under uncultured bacterium. RNAcentral's name for it is "16S ribosomal RNA". It matches the Rfam family "Bacterial small subunit ribosomal RNA". The record is from RNAcentral.